This 613-nucleotide ribosomal RNA is filed under the name Petriella musispora. Its description in RNAcentral is "eukaryotic LSU rRNA". It matches the Rfam family "Eukaryotic large subunit ribosomal RNA", at positions 1 to 633 of the family's 3401-position model. Lineage: Eukaryota; Fungi; Ascomycota; Sordariomycetes; Microascales; Microascaceae. The record is from RNAcentral.
UUGACCUCGGAUCAGGUAGGGUUACCCGCUGAACUUAAGCAUAUCAAUAAGCGGAGGAAAAGAAACCAACAGGGAUUGCCUCAGUAACGGCGAGUGAAGCGGCAACAGCUCAAAUUUGAAAUCUGGCUGCCUGUGCAGUCCGAGUUGUAAUUUGAAGAGGAUGCUUUUGGCAAGGUGCCUUCCGAGUUCCCUGGAAUGGGACGCCAUAGAGGGUGAGAGCCCCGUAUGGUCGGUCGCCGAGCCUCUGUAAAGCUCCUUCGACGAGUCGAGUAGUUUGGGAAUGCUGCUCAAAAUGGGAGGUAAACCCCUUCUAAAGCUAAAUAUUGGCCAGAGACCGAUAGCGCACAAGUAGAGUGAUCGAAAGAUGAAAAGCACUUUGAAAAGAGAGUUAAACAGCACGUGAAAUUGUUGAAAGGGAAGCGCUUGCGACCAGACUUGUGCCCGUCGAAUCAGCCGUCGCUCGUCGGCGGCGCAUUUCGGCGGGCUCAGGCCAGCAUCAGUUCGCUGCAGGGGGAGAAAGGCGGUAGGAAUGUAGCUCUUCGGAGUGUUAUAGCCUGCCGUAUAAUACCCCUCGGCGGACUGAGGACCGCGCAUCUGCAAGGAUGCUGGCGUA